Molecule: ribosomal RNA, 6471 nt
Filed under: Triticum aestivum (bread wheat)
Lineage: Eukaryota; Viridiplantae; Streptophyta; Magnoliopsida; Poales; Poaceae
Description: partial small subunit ribosomal RNA
Source: RNAcentral
GCAACUGAGUGAGUGUUCUGGAGUGUAGGCUGCGCUCACCUCCGGUACGCGCCUACGCGGCCGCAGCUCCUCGUGUAGGCGCCACCAAAACCUGCCCGCCACGGUAAGGUCACCGAACGCCGCCGCUUCGAGUCCGCCCGGCGAUGCCCCUCCUUGAGGUGGCCUGCUUUAGCUCCGCAGUACCCGCCCGCUAAACCCGGCCGUCGCGGCAAGGGCACGGACCGCGGCCGCCUCGGCUCCGCCGGGCGACGCCUCUCAUCGAGGUGGCUCGAUAGAGUGCUGCCUCCGGUACGCACCCGAGCUGCUCCGCACUACGUGCCCGCUAAAACCCGCCCGCCGCGUCAGGGGCACGGACCGCGGUUACCUCCGCUCCGCCCAACGAUGCUUCUCCUCGAGGUGGCCCCACAGCGCGCUGCCUCCGCCCGGCCGCGCCGCCUCCGCCCCCGAGCGGUGUCUACGAAGGUGGAGCGACGGCAGCAGCAGGACGAAGGACCCAGAGGAGGCUCGAACGGUAGUAGCGGGUUCCACUCGCCACGAAAUGUAUGGUGGGAACACAUCUAUCUUCUUGAAGAGGUGGCUGCUGCUGAGUUAAAGACGGAGCAAUUAGAGACCGUUUAGUGACUGCCUAUCUUCGUCGCCAGCACCUCAACUCAGGUCAGUCAUCGUGAUCGCGAUCAAGGAAGGUACUAGGACAUCCGGCGCUCCACACAGACCACUUCGACCUUAACGUCUUCGAAAAGUGUACUCAAUCGGACUUACACAAUCAAGCAGUACAAACAAGAUUUCGUCGGCGACAACAUCAAGUCUAUAUAUGUUAGAAACAAGUCAACAUCGACUUCUUCUUCUCUCCCAAUCAUUAAGCCUCAUCAUGAGUCAUGAAAUAUCUUGAAACAACACUUCCUUUACUUAGUUGUUAUAGACGCACAACGAGGUCAAGUUGAGCAGGUGUUGUGAAAAUGAUAUCAAGCAAUAGUUUACUUGGGAUUGAUCAUCAUCAUGUUAUGUCUCAACCCAGAGACUCUUAGACUAACAAUCCAACAGUACACUCGAAUGCCCCGACCUCUAAACCACCAACAGUACAACAGGUUGCUACGAUCAUACUAAGUCUAUGAGCGCGGGCAUCGAGUUUACAGUGAGUUAAAACGGUACAGUGAACGUGUAAAAACAUGUGUCAAAACAAACUUAAAAAUCAAGUUAGAAGAGUUACAACGGUACGUUACAGGGUUGCUACUGUUGGCUAUUAACGAUACUCAUCAACGGUACCGUCGUAAGACGUCAUUAACACUACCGUUCAAAGACAUUAUCAGCGGUACCCGUCUUAAAGAUGCUCACCAACGGUACCGUUUUAAAAGACAUCAUCAACGGUACCCGUCAUAGGUAUGUUCAUCAACAAUACCGUUUAAACAAACCCUGUUACCGUUUGAAAAAAUAGUACCGUUUUUACCAAUCACUUAAACGGUACCGUUUAAGUGAACUACAGGGUGCCGUUUAAGUGAAAUAACAGACACUGUUCAAAGAAAAAAAUUCUAGUACAAUUUGAAGAAAAUGUUUGGUACUGUAAAAAGACUGUUUGGUACCGUUUAGAUAAAUUAACCUUAUCUAAAAGGUAUGAUGUACCGUGAAAAAAGGGGCCUUGUACCGUUAAGGAAAAAUACUUCGUACCGUUUAAAUCAAUUUACCUAAAAAAAGAUAACUCAUGUUUUAACAGUAUCGUGUACGUUAACUAAACGGCAUGAUGUACCGUUAAAGGGGGGAGGUGGAAGCGUUCAAAUAAAAUGCUUGGUACCUUUUUUAAUCUAUUGACUUUAUCUAAAACGGUAUGAUGUACCGUUUUUUUUUUGGACUGGUACCGUUAAUAUAAAAUACUUCAUACCGUUUAAGUCAUUUUAACUUAUCUAAACUGUAUAAUGUACCGUAAAAAAGGGGUAGGUGGUACCGUUCAAAUAAAGAUUCUUGGUACCGUUUAAAUCAAUAAACUUUGUCUAAACGGUAUGCUGUACCGUAAAAAAAGGGAUCGGUACCGUUAAGAUAAAAAAUAUGCUUCGUGCGGUUUAAAUCAUUUUACCUCAUCUAAACAGUAUGAACUACCGUAAAAAGGGGUUUAGUACCGUUAAUAAAAACAAUUUUUGGUACCCUUUAAAUAAAUUUACCUAGUACCGUUAAAAAAGACGGCAACAACGAUACCCGUCUUAGGGAUGUAUAUCAACAGUACCGUUUAUGGCGAUUUUUUUCAACGGUACCGUUUAAACAAACACUGUUACCGUUUGAAAAAAAUGGUGCCGUUUUUACAAAUCACUUAAAACGGCACCGUUUAAGUAAACUACAGGGUGCCAUUUAAGUGAAAGAACGGGUACCGCUCAAAGAAAAAAAUUCUCUUACAGUUUGAAAAAAAUCUAAACGGUGUGAUGUACUGUGAAAAAGGGGACCUUGUACCGUUAAGAUAAAAAACGCUUCGUACGGUUUAAAUCAAUUUACGUAACAAAAACCACUCAUGUUUUAACAGUAUCGUAUACGUUAACUAAACGGUAUGAUGUACCGUUAACAAAGGGGACUGGUACCGUUAAGAUAAAAUACUUCAUUCCGUUUAAAUCAUUUUACCUUAUCUAAACGGUAUGAUGUACCGUGAAAAACUAUACUUAGACGGUAUCGUUAAAAGAACAAGUAUUUUUUGUACUGUUAAAAUUAUUUUUGUGGUACCGUUAAAAAGUACACUUAGACGGCAGCGUUAAAAAGAAGUAUAAAUUAAAAGUUGAAAAAAAGUGUGUGGCCUUUAAGGAGCAUGUUUUUGUACCGUUAAAAUUAAUUUUGUGGUAAGGUUUAAAAGUAUACUUAGACGGGGCCGUUAAGAUAACAAAUAUGAAUUAAAUUGGAGAAACAUAAAAAACGUGUGUGCCGUUUAAGGACUAUGUUUAUUGUGCCAUUAAAAUUGAUUUUGUGGUACCGUUUAAAAGUGGACUUAGAUGGUACCGUUAAAACGAGCAUUAAAAAACACAAUGAAAAUGUAUGUACCUUUUAAAGAGUAUUAUUUUGUACUGUUGACAUUUAACAUUAAUUUUAUAUUACUACAAAAAAAUAAACUUGGUACCGUUAAAGUAAAGUAUCAUAACACAAGAGAAUGUAGCGCCGUUUAAAGUAUAUGUUUGUACCCCUAAAAUUAGUUUUAUAGUACAGUAAAAAAGAUUAUGCUUAGACUACGAAAAAAAACAAGCAUUUAAAACACGAUGAAACGUAUGUUGCCUUUAAGGAGUAUUUUGUACCAAAAAAAUUAAGUUUAUACUGUUGUAAAAAAAUAUACUGGUACCGUUCAAAUAAAAAUAUCAAAACAGAAAAGACAUGGAUCUGCCGUUUAAAAGCGUAUGCUUGUACCUCUAAAAUUAACUUUAUAGUACAGUUCAAAGAUUAUAUUUAGACGGUAUAGUUAAAAACUGAAGUGAAAAAAAAUCACAAAGAGACACAUAAAAUUGGUUGUGAAAAGUAAAAAACAUAAAUAAAGAGUUCCUUUACAGCAACAACCCGAAUACUCACGAGCACCGGGUGAUCUCCCCCAGGUUGCAUCCUCCACAAACGCGACCUUUUGCAAGGGAGUUACCACGACAAAGCAAGCCAGCCCCACAGGACCACGGUGUGCACACCGUCAAACUUACACGCGGGUGUGUUUUAACACACCCGUCGGAGGACGAAUGUGGUGUGCACCACACACCCGCCCACAACGAGGGUGGUGUGCACACCCGCAAUAGCCGCAUAUAUAUAUUUCUGUGGUUCUCCCCCUUUGCCUCCUCUUCGUGGGCACCACGUCGCAGUUCCUCUAGGCCGUCUGCGCGUGGUGCAGCUUCCACCUCGACCGAUGCAAGCUUCGAUACACUACCCGGCUGCCGACGCUGCCCCCGCGGCGUUCCGCGCGGGACGCACAAGCGACGGUGCACGGCUAGCGUCACCGCGGUCCGCCUUCGAAGCGCUGUCAUCUCUUCUUCUUGCACAGGCGCCCCUGCCGCCGUCACCCUCGUGCAACGGCUACCGCUCGUCUGCGAGCCGCUCUACUUCUUGUCCGUCGUUGCGUACGGAACGACUGAGUGAUGAAACUAUAUAUACACACACACAAAAGCAGUCAGUCCAAAGUGCGCUCUCCGUGCGCCGUGCCGAGCGCGUGAUCCUCCCUGGUCGGUGGCGUUGCUUCCCUCUGGGUUCUCUACGCGCGGGCACCUCCACCGCAAGUCUUCUAGCCCUACCUAUACGGUGGGUCGUUCUCUACUGCAGACGUCGACGCCGUCGCCACGCCGGCUAGUCUACUACGGGUGUAUACAAACAAACAAAGAAAGAGAGUUACAAAAUAGUCCAAAGCACCCUCCGCGAGCGUGGGAGCUGCUCUGCGUGUACACCACCGUCGUAGCCCUCUCUGGCGUCUUUCUCUUCCUCUCUCUUGAGUGGUGUAGCGUCGAUCGGCCGCCUUCUCGUGCAGCGUCGUUGGGUGGCUACGUCGGUUGCGUAGUUCUGCGUGCGUCACAGCACAGAGUAACUCCGUUCUCUACACGGGACCGCCGUCACAGCUCCAUAGCUCCUCUUUCCUGCGCGGGCACCGCCACCGUGCACGCGGCUCGUAGCCACACCGUCGGCGCUACGUGUCUACUCCUACAUGAGGUUCGCCCAUUGGCUCGUAGGUCCUCCCGCGUAUGUGGUACACGUUGCUACGAUGUUAUUAGGAAUAAAAAGACACAAUAGUAGAUAAAACGUCUUACUGGAAACGUGCUGCGCGGAUAGUCUCCACCGGCUCCUGCUACGUUGCGAGAAGAGUCUUCGUCAACUCCUCCGCUUACUACGCAGGUUGGUUCAACCGGCGCUUCCUUCUACGCGAGAAGAACAUGUACACAACAGCUCCGCCGCCUGCUGCGCGGGUCGCCUCCACCGGCGCCUACUUCUCCGCGAGAAGAGCAUGGUCCACAACAGCUCCGCCGCCUACUGCGCGGGUUGCCUCCACCGGCGUCUGUUUCGCCGCGCGAAAGAGCAUGGUCCACGUUACUUCUGCCGCCGCGGGAGCGUGUGUACCUACGUACAAUCUUGUUCCUCCAGUAGCGGGUGAAGAAGUUGGGGCUACUGUUCCUCUGUUCCUCGAACGGUGUCGGUGACGGUAGUUCGGCCACGGCGUCUUCUACCACAGCACCUGGAACUCCCUACAACAGCCGUAGGUGAAGCAGUUCUACCACGGAGCUACCUACCGCUGUGCCUCGAGCGAGCCUACUACGAGGCAGCAGAAGAAGUGGUUCUGCCACGGUAUCUCCUACCUCCGUACCUCGGGCUUCUACGGCGGUAGCACGGUACCUACUACCUCCGCGCCUCGAGCGGUUCUACUGCGGGUAAUAGUUGUAGUAGUUCGGCCACGACACCACCUGCCUCCGCACCUCGAGUGCCCUGCUGUGGUGGCUACAGAAGGAGUAGUUCUGCUCCGGGUGUUUGGCCUCAGGUACUUCUACUGUGUGCGGGGGCCACAACAGACGUUGUGCGUCGGGCGCUAUGCUUCUUCUACCACGAUACGCUACUGUGCAAAAGUGACUGGGAAUGGUGCUAGGGCACUACACAAAGGAAACAGAACCGCCUGGUGGCUUAUGCCGCAGGUUGGCUCUGCUCCCCGUGAGAAGGACCGCAUGUCCAGAGCCGUAUGUCCGUAGUACGAGGAACAGAAUCGUUUGGUAGCUUAUACCGCAGAUCGAUCCUGCUCCGUAAUUGGUACGGGAAGGUACUACAGUGGAAAGAAGCCGUGGCACUACGAAACGGGAACAGAACCACCUGGUGGCUUAUGCCACAGGUCGGCUCUGUUCCACGUGAGAAGUACCGUAUUUCCAAAGUGGCAUGUCCGCCACACGAGGAACAGAUCGUCUGGUGGCUUAUGCCGUAGAUCGACUCUGCUCCGUAGUUGUGCGGGGAGAUUCUGCAUUGGAGAGUGCCGGAACACUCCGCCUCAGAAACAGAGGCGUCUAACGGCAUUGGAGCCGGGGAUCAGCUCUGCUCUGCGGUUGGUGUGACCGGUACGGCUACGCACACACGCAACCAAAAUGUGAUUGCUGUCAGAGGUGUUUUCUUAUGAGAGCGCUCCGUUGGGGAAUACAUGGGGCUGCUUCGGCGAUGUAGCAGUUCUUCAGGCUCGGUUCGCCCUAAGUACGAUGGGGUUGUGGCUGAUGUGGUUGCGACAGUUGUGGCUGCUCCGCGCUGUCACUCCCGCCUGCACCGAUCGUGUUUCGGUACAAAACUCGCCGUGCACAUGGUUGCUCCUGUGCCCGAAACGGCGACGGGCGUGGAUGUGUGUGGUAGUAGUAUACGUACCUCUUGCACUUCGCUUCCGCUGCUUCUGCUGGUGUGUCGAAUUAGCCUCCAUAGAGCGCCUCGUUGGGCACCCUCAUUAAUUGGCCCUCGGAAGGUUCAGGUGCCCUUGGUCCUCUGGCGUGUUGCGAUCAGUGCGUCCGGCCGGCGCGAUCAUCCGGU